This 672-nucleotide long non-coding RNA is filed under the name Trifolium pratense (red clover). RNAcentral's name for it is "long non-coding RNA (TPRA_LNC000934)". Lineage: Eukaryota; Viridiplantae; Streptophyta; Magnoliopsida; Fabales; Fabaceae. The record is from RNAcentral.
UUUGUGAUAUGUGAGUGAUUAAAUGAGUGAAUGAGUGUUAGCUUUUUGUGUUUUGAACAAUUGUCUAUAAACAUUGAAAGGUUCAAGAUAAGUUGUUUUUUAUGUGCACUUUGAUUUUUAUUUAUUUAUUAGAAUUUGCUUGUCUUAAGCUCUGUUUGGUAAAAAUAAGCUAUAAGUUAGCUGAUAGCUGAUAAGCUAGCUUAUAGCUAAAAAGCUAGCUUAUAGCUGAUGGCUGGUAGCUUAUAGCUGAAAAGCUAGUAGAAUAAAAUUAAAGUAUUUGGCAAAUUUAGCUGUUGUAAGUAAAAAAUGACAUAAAAAUACAUGGUUAGUGGGUAGUUUUUUUUUUGUAAGUGUUAGUGGGUAGUUAUUAUAAUUUUUAAAAAAUAAAUAAAUAAAAUUAAUGAGGGUAAAUAUGGAACAAAAUGAAAAAGAUAUAAGUUAUAAGUUCAUACGCUACUUGAAAUAGCAUCUCAAAAAAUGCUAUAAGCUAGUUAGAGAAGCUCGUUACCAAACACUUCACAUUUUUUUCAAACAAGCUUAUAAGCUAGUUCAAUAAGUUAUAAACUAGCUUAUUGAACUUACCAAACAGUGCCUUAGGAUCCAUCUGUUAUAAGAUUAAAAUAAAAAUGAUUUUGAUAUAAAUGAUUUAGUGAUUAGUUUUUUUGAGUAGAA